GCGCAGCAGGCGCGAAAACUCCGCAAUGCGCGUAAGUGUGACGGGGUCAUCCCGAGUGCCGUCCGCUGAGGAUGGCUUUUGUCCGGUCUAACCAGCCGGGGGAAUAAGGGGAGGGCAAGUCUGGUGUCAGCCGCCGCGGUAAUACCAGCUCCCCGAGUGGUUGGGACGAUUAUUGGGUCUAAAGCGUCCGUAGCCGGCUGAGGAAGUUCUCCGUUAAAUCCAGCGAUUCAAUCGUUGGAUUGCGAGGGAUACUGUUCGGCUAGGGGGUGAGAGAGGCCAACGGUAUUCCCGGGGUAGGGGUGAAAUCCUAUAAUCCCGGGAGGACCACCAGUGGCGAAGGCGGUUGGCUAGAACACGCCCGACGGUGAGGGAUGAAAGCUGGGGGAGCGAACCGGAUUAGAUACCCGGGUAGUCC
Molecule: ribosomal RNA, 415 nt
Filed under: uncultured crenarchaeote
Lineage: Archaea; Thermoproteati; Thermoproteota
Description: partial 16S ribosomal RNA
Rfam family: Archaeal small subunit ribosomal RNA
Source: RNAcentral